Molecule: ribosomal RNA, 305 nt
Filed under: uncultured bacterium
Lineage: Bacteria
Description: bacterial SSU rRNA
Rfam family: Bacterial small subunit ribosomal RNA
Source: RNAcentral
UCCUACGGGGGGCAGCAGUGGGGAAUAUUGGGCAAUGGGGGGAACCCUGACCCAGCGACGCCGCGUGAGGGAAGAAGGUUUUCGGAUUGUAAACCUCUGUCCUUGGUGACGAUAAUGACGGUAGCCAAGGAGGAAGCCACGGCUAACUACGUGCCAGCAGCCGCGGUAAUACGUAGGUGGCGAGCGUUGUCCGGAAUUACUGGGUGUAAAGGGAGCGUAGGCGGCAGGGCAAGUCUGGAGUGAAAGGCAGGGGCCCAACCCCUGGACUGCUCUGGAAACUGUCCGGCUGGAGUGCAGGAGAGGUA